AGAGUUUGAUCAUGGCUCAGGACGAACGCUGGCGGCGUGCUUAACACAUGCAAGUCGAACGGAAAGGCCCUGCUUGCAGGGUGCUCGAGUGGCGAACGGGUGAGUAACACGUGGGUGAUCUGCCCUGCACUUUGGGAUAAGCCUGGGAAACUGGGUCUAAUACCGGAUAUGACCAAGGAUUGCAUGGUUCUUGGUGGAAAGCUUUUGCGGUUGGGGAUGGGCCCGCGCCCUAUCACCUUGUUGGUGGGGUAAUGGCCUACCAAGGCGACGACGGGUAGCCGACCUGAGAGGGUGAUCGGCCACACUGGGACUGAGACACGGCCCAGACUCCUACGGGAGGCAGCAGUGGGGAAUAUUGCCCAAUGGGCGCAAGCCUGAUGCAGCGACGCCGCGUGAGGGAUGACGGCCUUCGGGUUGUAAACCUCUUUCAGCAGGGACGAAGCGCGAGCGACGGUA
This 456-nucleotide ribosomal RNA is filed under the name Gordonia sp. (in: high G+C Gram-positive bacteria). Its description in RNAcentral is "bacterial SSU rRNA". It matches the Rfam family "Bacterial small subunit ribosomal RNA", at positions 8 to 477 of the family's 1533-position model. The record is from RNAcentral. Lineage: Bacteria; Bacillati; Actinomycetota; Actinomycetes; Mycobacteriales; Gordoniaceae.